This 346-nucleotide ribosomal RNA is filed under the name uncultured bacterium. RNAcentral's name for it is "partial 16S ribosomal RNA". It matches the Rfam family "Bacterial small subunit ribosomal RNA", at positions 373 to 710 of the family's 1533-position model. The record is from RNAcentral.
GGGGGGWWYYYUGACCGARCAMCGCCGCGUGAGUGAAGAAGGUUUUCGGAUCGUAAAGCUCUGUUGUAAGAGAAGAACGAGUGUGAGAGUGGAAAGUUCACACUGUGGCGGUAUCUUACCAGAAAGGGACGGCUAACUACGUGCCAGCAGCCGCGGUAAUACGUAGGUCCCGAGCGUUAUCCGGAUUUAUUGGGCGUAAAGCGAGCGCAGGCGGUUWKAWAAGUCUGAAGUUAAAGGCUGUGGCUUAACCAUAGUACGCUUUGGAAACUGUUUAACUUGAGUGCAAGAGGGGAGAGUGGAAUUCCCAUGUGUAGCGGUGAAAUGCGUAGAUAUAUGGAGGAACACC